Molecule: long non-coding RNA, 800 nt
Filed under: Homo sapiens (human)
Lineage: Eukaryota; Metazoa; Chordata; Mammalia; Primates; Hominidae
Description: HSALNT0032981
Source: RNAcentral
AGAGAUUAAUACUUUCAUUCAUGUAGUGUAUAAGGACAUCCAAAAUAGUUCAGGAAAUACAAAAUAAUGGAAUGUGUUCAUUGAGGAGAGGCUGUUGAAGAGUAAGAGAUUGGAGUGAAAUUUGUUUUAGCAAGCCAUUAGCUUGGAGGAAACCCUCUGUCCCUUGCUGUGCAUCAGGUAAACCAUUUCACCAAAACAUUUUGUAAAGGUGAAGGUGAUGAUGAAAUUUCUUCUCCCUCUGCCCAUUUUACAGCGUCAUCAGGACUCAAGAUGUUUGCUAUAGUUUAUUCACCAAUAGAGCACUUUUGCUAUGUUUUGGCAUCCAUUGUCCUUUUCUCUUGUUAUAGUGCCUCAAUUCUUGUUUGGCUUUCUAUUUCUCCACCGUGAAAUUCUAGUGUUCCAAUGCAAACUGACUUCACCUCCAGUCGAAGAAUGAUAAAUUAUUAGCUUAUGCCAAUCAAUACAUUUCAUACAUCCCAUCUCAGAGGCCACAGUGAUUGAUUCAGGAUGGGCAUGUGACCCAAUUUUCCCAGGAAAUGUCAGAGUUCUUGCUUCUAGGUAAGAACCUCCUCUGGCUUCCAUGGAAGCACUUAAAGAAAACCUCUCAUUCUGGGUGAUGUGCAGUGUGGCUGUGAGGCCAAGUUUAUUGCAAUCACCAUACUAUCAUGAAGAAUGAAGUCCCUGGAGGGAGGAAAGAUAUAGAAAAUCGCAGAAAAACAUGACCAGAAUUUUUAUCAAUACAUGUUUAAAUCAUACCUUGCCUCUGAAAUUUUCAGUUACACGAACCAAUAAAUCCCCAU